Pelobates cultripes (western spadefoot toad) is the source of this 316-nucleotide non-coding RNA. Lineage: Eukaryota; Metazoa; Chordata; Amphibia; Anura; Pelobatidae. The record is from the annotation of a GenBank genome assembly.
GAGUCUGGAUACCAUAGCAGUUACUUAAUAUAUGUGCAUGCAAUAAAGUCAAUCAGUAGAAUCGAAGAAGAAGCCCAAGUUAGAUAAGAUGAAACCACAGAGGAACUGCGCCAUUGGUAAAACUUUUUUUUUUUUAAAUGGGUUUUAAAAAGGUAACAUUAGAAAUAAAUAAAUCUAUGACACCAGAUAAACAGCACUAUGGAUUUUUCUGCCAGAAUAUCGGCCCAGCAACUUGCUAUCGAACGUGGAAUGGGGGUCUUUGUCAAGCACAAGAAAGAGACAAAAUAAGAAGACUCAUGCCCAUCUUGCAUUGCAU